UGAUCAUAAUAGGAUGCAGGGUGACAGAAAUUAGAAUAUAUUAUUGGACAUGUGCUUCCCGACUAAAUGCAACAGAGACGAAAACAAAAUCGAGUCCAUUACUACGAUUGGGACGAUUUGGAGCUGAUCAUAACAUAUGGGUACCUGUCCAUUGUUUGAACCUGUUUGUGACAUCUUUGUAAUGUAAUGCAUGCGCGCAAAUGUAAUGCAUCUACAUAAAUAUUUCACCAA
Long non-coding RNA from Mytilus californianus (California mussel), 231 nucleotides. RefSeq lists it as uncharacterized. The record is from RefSeq and is a predicted model, not a curated record. Lineage: Eukaryota; Metazoa; Mollusca; Bivalvia; Mytilida; Mytilidae. The transcript is spliced from 2 exons.